RNAcentral lists this ribosomal RNA (492 nucleotides) under uncultured bacterium. Its description in RNAcentral is "partial 16S ribosomal RNA". It matches the Rfam family "Bacterial small subunit ribosomal RNA", at positions 29 to 507 of the family's 1533-position model. The record is from RNAcentral.
AGUGAACGCUGGCGGUAGGCCUAACACAUGCAAGUCGAACGGCAGCACAGUAAGAGCUUGCUCUUACGGGUGGCGAGUGGCGGACGGGUGAGGAAUACAUCGGAAUCUACUUUUUCGUGGGGGAUAACGUAGGGAAACUUACGCUAAUACCGCAUACGACCUACGGGUUAAAGCAGGGGAUCUUCGGACCUUGCGCGAUUGAAUGAGCCGAUGUCGGAUUAGCUAGUUGGCGGGGUAAAGGCCCACCAAGGCGACGAUCCGUAGCUGGUCUGAGAGGAUGAUCAGCCACACUGGAACUGAGACACGGUCCAGACUCCUACGGGAGGCAGCAGUGGGGAAUAUUGGACAACGGGCGCAAGCCUGAUCCAGCCAUACCGCGUGGGUGAAGAAGGCCUUCGGGUUGUAAAGCCCUUUUGUUGGGAAAGAAAAGCAGCAGGUUAAUACCCCGCUGUUCUGACGGUACCAAAAGAAUAAGCAACGGCUAACUUCGUG